GUGAAUCAUCGAAUUUUUGAACGCAAAUUGCACUCUCUGGUAUACCGGAGAGUAUGCCUGUUUGAGGGUCAGUAAAAAUAAAAAUCGGUGUGGUUGCUGCCUUUCGUGGUGACGCACCGGAUUAGGGUCGUCAUGCCUUGGGUUAAGUGACCAAGAAUUUUGGAUGAAUCAGUUCGAACGUAUUUAAAUGAUUGUACGAACGUUUGCGUAAUCGAGUACUAGGGGUGGUG
Molecule: unclassified non-coding RNA, 230 nt
Filed under: Glomus sp.
Lineage: Eukaryota; Fungi; Glomeromycota; Glomeromycetes; Glomerales; Glomeraceae
Description: partial contains 5.8S ribosomal RNA and internal transcribed spacer 2
Rfam family: 5.8S ribosomal RNA (bases 1-71)
Source: RNAcentral